ACCAUUCUUGAGGCUAAAGGUAAGCUUUUAACUCCCGAAUUUGUUUUUCGAUCCGUAGAACAUAAUCUAAUAGGUAAUUAUCGAUGGGGAGGGUUUUGAUCUAGAUUCUAUGGUGGAAACAACCCUAUUUUGGGUACUUGGGAUCAUGGGUAUGAUCUAGGGUUGUUAGAAUUGUUAGUAAUCUGAGUAAUUACUGAUUGUUUAUUGAUUCCCGUGUUAUUAUGAUUGUUUGUAGACCAAGAACAAGCGGAACGAAUUCGAAAAGGGAAGGAUCAAGUUUCUAAGGGUUUCAAGCUUGUUUCGAGGUAGGUGAUGGUUGUGAUUUCAUGUUGGUGUGAUAUAUGUUUGUAAUUGCUCAUUAUAAUGCAUGUAUGUAUGCGAAUGUUGUAUUAUUGAUCACCCUAAUCGUAAAAUGAGGAUAAUUGAAUAAUUAUAUGCCAUGAAUCACCUCUUGUUGUAUGAUUGUGAGAUUAUACAUUGUGAUUGUGGUUUGUUGAAUGGAUCGAGGGUUGCGUUCCAACACAUUAACAUGGAUCGGUUGUCACGUUUCGGCAUAAAUAUGGGAUCGGUUGCCACGUUCCAACAUAAACAUUGGAUCGGGUANN
RNAcentral lists this long non-coding RNA (605 nucleotides) under Solanum tuberosum (potato). Its description in RNAcentral is "long non-coding RNA (STUB_LNC003587)". The record is from RNAcentral. Lineage: Eukaryota; Viridiplantae; Streptophyta; Magnoliopsida; Solanales; Solanaceae.